GGGGAUUUAGCUCAGUGGUAGAGUUCUUGCCUAGCAAGCACAAGGCCCUGGGUUCAGUCCCCAGCUCCG
Molecule: transfer RNA, 69 nt
Filed under: Rattus norvegicus (Norway rat)
Lineage: Eukaryota; Metazoa; Chordata; Mammalia; Rodentia; Muridae
Rfam family: tRNA
About the family: Transfer RNA (tRNA) molecules are approximately 80 nucleotides in length. Their secondary structure includes four short double-helical elements and three loops (D, anti-codon, and T loops).
Source: Rfam by way of RNAcentral